UGGGGAAUAUUGGACAAUGGGGGCAACCCUGAUCCAGCAAUGCCGCGUGUGUGAAGAAGGUCUUCGGAUUGUAAAGCACUUUCGACGGGGACGAUGAUGACGGUACCCGUAGAAGAAGCCCCGGCUAACUUCGUGCCAGCAGCCGCGGUAAUACGAAGGGGGCUAGCGUUGCUCGGAAUGACUGGGCGUAAAGGGCGUGUAGGCGGUUUACACAGUCAGAUGUGAAAUCCCCGGGCUUAACCUGGGAGCUGCAUUUGAUACGUGUAGACUAGAGUGUGAGAGAGGGUUGUGGAAUUCCCAGUGUAGAGGUGAAAUUCGUAGAUAUUGGGAAGAACACCGGUGGCGAAGGCGGCAACCUGGCUCAUGACUGACGCUGAGGCGCGAAAGCGUGGGGAGCAAACAGGAUUAGAUACCCUGGUAGUCCACGCUGUAAACGAUGUGUGCUAGAUGUUGGGUAACUUUGUUAUUCAGUGUCGCAGUUAACGCGUUAAGCACACCGCCUGGGGGAGUACGGCCGCA
This 519-nucleotide ribosomal RNA is filed under the name uncultured bacterium. RNAcentral describes it as "partial 16S ribosomal RNA". It matches the Rfam family "Bacterial small subunit ribosomal RNA", at positions 355 to 890 of the family's 1533-position model. The record is from RNAcentral.